This 215-nucleotide ribosomal RNA is filed under the name Campeiostachys nutans. RNAcentral's name for it is "Elymus nutans partial small subunit ribosomal RNA". The stretch from base 37 to 215 matches the Rfam family "Eukaryotic small subunit ribosomal RNA", at positions 684 to 864 of the family's 1831-position model. The record is from RNAcentral. Lineage: Eukaryota; Viridiplantae; Streptophyta; Magnoliopsida; Poales; Poaceae.
GGAUCAAUAUGUUGGUCGUGCCUUGGUACGUACUGGUAUUGUUGGUUUCUCCCUUCUGACGAACCAUGAUGCCAUUAAUUUGGUGUUGCGGGGAAUUUGGACUGUUACUUUGAAAAAAUUAGAGUGUUUAAAGCAAGCUAACGCUUGAAUACAUUAGCAUGGAAUAAUGAAAUAGGACGUUCGAUCCUAUUUUGUUGGUUUCUAGGAUUGACGUA